This is a long non-coding RNA of Melospiza melodia melodia, 2821 nucleotides long. RefSeq lists it as uncharacterized. The transcript is spliced from 7 exons. NCBI's taxonomy places the organism in Eukaryota, Metazoa, Chordata, Aves, Passeriformes, Passerellidae. The record is from RefSeq and is a predicted model, not a curated record.
GUUCGGCGGUGCCGUGGCUCGGAGGCGCUUUGGAGGCGUUGAUGGCAUCGCUGGGUUCGGUUUGCAGCGGGUGUCCGCUAAGGGAUACGGUGUUCUUCCUGAGUGGGCACGGUUCUCGGUGCCGGGUACUGAGAAAAUACGUCUCCGUUAGAGUACCGCGGAAAGGUUCUCAGUGCGCUCUCUAUCAAGUGCUAUGAGUCUUGAUAAAUUGGAGAAGAGCCCAAGAGAAAUUUUUCAUCCCUUGAUAUAAAAGGAUUUAUUGGUUCUGGAAGAACAAGAGGGAAGUACAAGCCUAACUACUUCUAGCUCACAGGCCCGUCCAGUGAACCCAGGGACCGGUGAAUUUUAACUUUGGAGUCCCCUAUGCUAAGGAUGCUCAGCUUACAGGUGAUGAAAUGUUCAGUAAUGUAUUUGCUGCAGCUCUGCUUACCCAAGCUUUGGGUUCCUUCUGUCCCACUGGGAGUUGCCCAGUUUGGUUGCAUCUGGUGAAAUUCACCCUGAGACCUUACAGAACUAGCUCCAACUACGUGAGAGCCAUUUGCAGUUCUCUCCAGACACCUGGAGAAUGGGUGACGUUUCUGAGGAUCCGGCGAGCGUGCUUCUAUCAAAACUCAGUCUGUGAAAUUCCUGGGGAAAACCCUUCUGUGUCCUGAAGGGUUCAAACUCUGGUGAGGAUCCAGUUAUCAGGGGCUCACCUGGAUGGUUCCAGCUCCCAAAGUUAACACUUCUACUCUUGCCCUGUAGUUUACAUCUAUUGUAUUUUUGUUAUUUUGCAACAUUUUUUGUCUUUGCAAAAUAUUGUGCAUUUCACUCUUUGGAACCUCUCAGAUGGUUCUUUGGUGCAGCACCACCCCAGGGGACACUUGGCUGCUGUCCUGAAGGGUUUGGUCGCUAGAAUUGUGAAUCCUGGAGAGUUUGUGAGUCUUCUGUCCCCAGGGAGGUGUCGUGCUUUGUUUACUUUUGUUCUGUUGGUUAGGCGCUGCUUCUCGUUGCAAGUAUGAAUUUCAAACUGCCCUGUUCUUAUUUUAACUGUUUUCCUGGUUCUCUCUGUCCGGCAGGGAAAGACUCUCGUAUCCUUGUCGUCGGGCUCGGUGCUGUCCAAGAAGAUACAGAGACUAAAAAAAUCAUAAGAAGCAAAAUAUGACUGCAGGGAAAAGAAGCUGGAGAGAACAGAAGACUCAUCACGGCGGGACAGCGUGAGGACUGAAAGUGUAAGAAGAUGUGGAGGGAAACAGAGAAUCUGACAGGAGCAGCGAACGCACGAGUGCAGGAAUUUUGCUUUUUGCUUGGAUGUAAACUCAGGAGUUGAGAGGAAUUUGGGAGUGAGAAGGGACAUUUCAGAAGGAGAAGAAGAAAAAGAGGUUGUUGUUGUUGUUACAGUCCUGGCAAAAUCUUUUGUUCUAGCUAAUAAAAGAAGUUAGUUUAAAAAACAAAAAGGAAAAAAUGUAGUGUUUUUUUUUUCCUUCACUAUGAUAUUCAUUGGUGGUAUAUGGUGUGUUGUUUUAUUUCUUGGUAUUAUUAACUCUGUGUAAAUUGUUUUUUGAGUGAAGCUGACUUUCUGGAUGGGUUGGUUUGUAUUUGAGGCAGGAUUAAUUUCAGUAGGGUUCUUUCAUAGAUUUCUGAUGGGUAUUACUGGGAUUUUGGUUUUGUUUACUGUAUGUAUAAACCUAGAGCUUUGGUAGGGCCAGCUGGGCUGCUGGAGUUUUGGGUGUGAAUUUAUUAGAUGGCUUUUGUUAGAUGCAGUUUUUAAUUUUUGAAAUGUUUUUCAAUGUAGUGGUUUUAAGGUGGUUUUUAAGAAUUCAUUGUAUUGCUUUAUCUUGUUUGUAGUUGGUGUAUGAUAAGGGAUGUGGUGUGAGUUCUUGAACAUUAUGGUUUUGGUGUUCCUAAGUUCUGAUUUCUUUGUGGUUCAAUAUUUUUUUUUAUUUUUAUUUUUUGGGACAGGGGCAUUUAUAUGGUGGGUUUUUAUAGGCAAUAUGUUUUUUAAUUUAGGUAGUGAUAUUUUUUAAUAUUUUAAUAGUUUAGGUUUUUUAUUUUCAUGGUUUUAAUUAUUUUUUUUAAUUUUUUGAAAUAACUUUUAUAGAUUACAUGUUAUUAUUUGUGCAUUAACAUAAAGGUAGAGCUUUGGGGACUUUUUUUAGUAAUGUUUAGGGUCAGUUGUGCAGUUUUGAGUCUAGUGCGUUGGUUUGAUUUAAUUUUUAAUGGGUGUUUGUUUUUAUUAGCAGUUGUGUCAUUUUCAAGGUGUGUUUGAGUUUUUUGGGGUUUUUGAGAUACUGGUUUAGGAGGAAGUUUAUGAUGAGCAUGUGCGGAGGUUUUGGGCUACUUUAUAGUGGGAUCUAAAAUUUAUUUACAGUUAGGUUUAUUUGAGUUUUUAUUAGGGUUCAGUGACGUUGUGGGAUAUUUGUUCCGUUAGUAACAGAAAUAGGUUUUGUUUUGCUGUGCUGCGAUGGGAUGGGCGUGUGCUGCGUGCCGGUGCUGACAAAGGUACAGUAUUGUUGUGGCUCUGGUGCGUCGGGUUAAUGAACUGACAUGGUUUAAUGUAGAGAUGAAAAUAGAAAUAAAUAUACAUUUAAAAAUAAAUAUAACAUUAGAGUGGUAAACAUAAAUAUAGAUAACAGAUACAUACAUAAAACUAUAAUACAUGGUAUAUAAUUGUAACAUAUUAUCAUAUAGGUAAAUGAUAGUCUAUUUUAUAUAUAUAUAUAUAUACACAAAGAUAUAUAAAUAUAGAUUGUAAAUAUAAAAAUAUUUAAAUAGAGUUAAAGUAAAUUGGGUGGUUUUAUUAGGUUAUAGGCUGGGGUUUUUAAAUGAUAGCAAUAAAAUA